Molecule: long non-coding RNA, 2663 nt
Organism: Hippopotamus amphibius kiboko
Lineage: Eukaryota; Metazoa; Chordata; Mammalia; Artiodactyla; Hippopotamidae
Exons: 3
Source: RefSeq, a predicted model, not a curated record
GUUCCCGGCUCCGCUCUGGUGGCUCCACCUCGGCGCUUGCCAGAUCCAUCCCGCAGGCGAGGCACCCGGGCGGCUCCGCGGGCGACCCCCGGUGCUGGCUUCCCUGUGGUGUCACCGCCCGGGGCAGUGCCUCCCGCUCAGUGUGUCCCGAGGGGAGCCGGAGGACGGAGUAACUCCAGCGGCGGGGCUCUGCCGGGCUGUCCUGUGGCGAAGGGCGCCAGGGUGUCCGGCUGCGAAAGUAAAGUCAAAGUCCUCUGGGGCAAAGGACCCUGAGAGGGGGUGAGGAGGUGGAUCCGAGAAGCAAACAAACCCCUCCUAAAAAUGACUGUCACUGACAGUGAAAACUAACGAGACUGCAGGCUGCCACGCAGUCUCCUGGAAGGCUUGUUCGGGUGGAAACGACCACUCCUCCCAGCCGGCUUAGACCCCGACGCUGAGCCGAGCCAAACAGGAGCGCAGGUGUGGUGCCAUGAAUCAGACAGGACUGAACCUUUCCCUCGGUCCCUCUUUACUCCACCCAGGCAAGGAGAACUCCUUGAGCUCUUUGAGCUCCACUCUUGACUGGUAAUCCAGAGAUUCAACAGCAAGUCCAACUUCUGGGCCAAUGUUCCAGACUCCUGUCCAUCAAUGGCAUGGCAUUCCUUUUUAAGAUAUCUGAUAUCCAGGACUCUAAAACAACUGACCUUUUCUAUCACCUCUCCAAAUGGUUCAACUGAUUUUGAAGAAACAGCGACAAAAAAGAGGUCUUAAGGGAUUAUUUCUUGGACCCUACUUGGCUCCGCUCAGGUUGUUUAUUAUCACCGUUGAACAGUUCAGCAAAAAAUGAUAUUCAUUCAUCUUCACUGAAAGACUGACAGUGUUGAACUUCCGUUGAGCCUUACGUUCUUGGAUAAGAGCAGCAGUUAAGAAAGCUCCCACCUCCCAUCAACACUUUGUGUUCCAGGGAAGGGUUUACUGCAAAGAACCAUCCUUCCCCAUAUGACUUAGAUAAGACUCACCAUUCAUACCUUUUUUUUUCAGUUCAUAAGCAAAUGAAAGCUCUAUUCUUUGAUCAAAGAAUUGGAGAGGUGCGAGCUCGUGCUCUAGAGUACACACUCCCCUGUUCACUCUUUCCCGUGACUCCCAUAAGACAUGAGGAUGACUCCUCUGUCUACCCGUGACAAGGCCAAACACACACCUUCCCCCUUUUGUGUGAACCUGCUGAGAAAUCUGGGGCUCAAAUUUCUAGGGGUUUUGCAAGGUCUGCAGACACCUACAAAUCUCACACGUGUGCAUGUGCACCACACACGCCCUGGGUUUUACUGAGAUUCACUUUGCUGAUUGCUGCAGUGGUUCUCCUGUGUGAUCUCCUUCCCAUCACCUCUCAUGACUCAAACGUACAUUAGCCUUCCAGUGGUGGCUCCCUGCUCUACCAAACAUGACACCCUCUUCCAAUGCUGCCACCAUCUUCCAGCAGAUAGAAGCAGAAUCCAGGACCUCCAGCCCCUCUGUCUCCUAUUCAUAUUGGGCAGUUACCAGGAGCCAACAUAAGCAAACUGAGGGUGUGCUAUGAGGGAUGCAAUGCCUCUUUCCCUCUUGUUUCAUCUGCAGUUAGAGGAAGUCUCUAGCUAGUGCUGCUUGUUUCUUGCUAGAAAACAUUUAGAGAAAAUCUUUCCACAUUUCCUGCACUUUUCUGUCUCCAGAACUCAGACUUACACAUCCAUGGAGACAAAUGGAAAUAGAGUUGAUUGAUAACCACUGAUAUGUUCUCAAAAUGCUGUUCCUCUCUAUGGCAAAGGCGUCCCUAGUGAGUCAAGUUCAUUAAACUACGUCCUCAAUUUUAGGAAGAGUUUGUUCCUAUAAAGUUCCCAAGACCAUGGAGAACAUCACGGUUGGGCCUCUCCUACUAUUACAUCAGAUGAGCCUUAACACAUUUGAAUCUCUUUUCAGUGGUGACUAGGGCAGAGCUUCUCAAUUAUCCUAGUGAAAGACCAAUUCUUUUCCCCUCAAAUCAUUUUGGAUUGAUAUCUUGGUAAACUGUAAUAAAAAGGAGCUACGAGAAAAGUGAAAUAAAAAUCAAACUGAUCAGGUAAUGUCAGACUGCCAUCAAUUUUCCAAAUGCUUACUCCCACCGGCUGUCUUUCUCUAUUCGCAGAUCUGUAACACACAGCUCAUUUCCCUGCCCUGGCCUGCACAGCAUUCUGAGUAGAACUGGUCUAUGAAGUGAAGGGAGGCUAAGGUCUAAAUGUCCUGCCUGUGAUCUUGAACUGUGACCUAGUUACUAUUUUUCAGGAUUUAUUUUUUCUUCCAGCUUCUGGAGAACUGGAUAGAUGAUAAUCACCUUUCCUUCAUUUGAACUGCCAGCUCUCAAUUUGUUGGCACCAGAUUUUCUACUUUCUGAAUUAUUUUUUAAUCGUAAACAUCCCUCUAGGUCUCCUCUCUGUUUGGUUUAUUGCUCUUUAGUAACGUUAACGUCUCCACCAGAGAGUGUGAGAGGUAUUUUGCAGGGAAUCAAAUGGAAUUGUCAGCGUUUGGGGUAGCACCUCUUGCUAAAGCUUACAGUUAAAAAGAUGUUUGGACACUACCUGCGAAUUUCAUUUUACUUCAGAAACAUAUUACUCUACAUUUGAUGUGAAGGAUCUUCCUUCCCAGCAAGACUCAGAGUUGAGAAAACACAGAAAUAU